RNAcentral lists this ribosomal RNA (483 nucleotides) under Oculotrema hippopotami. RNAcentral's name for it is "partial 12S ribosomal RNA". Lineage: Eukaryota; Metazoa; Platyhelminthes; Monogenea; Polystomatidea; Polystomatidae. The record is from RNAcentral.
GAUUGAUGAGUGAGUUUUUGUACAAUAAGGAGUUUAAUAAUAUAGUACAAUUUUUGGUUUAAUAAUAAUUGUAGUUGAGAAAGUUUUUAAUAUUUUUGUAAAAGCAUGGGUUAGACUAGGAUUAGAUACCCUUUUAUAGUGUUUAUAUUUUUUAUUUUUAGUGAAAACUGAAAGAAAUUGGCAGUUAAUUAAAUUCUUCUAGGGGAUUGUGUUAUUUGAACAGAUGGUCCGCUUAAUUAUUUUUUUUAUUUAUGGUUAGUGUAUAUCCGGUUUUUGGAAAAUAAAUGUUUUUCAAUUAAUAUUUGUUAAGAUUUAGCCCAGGUCGAUAUGCUGCUUAUAUUAAAGAAUUUAUGCAAUACAUUAUAACUUUCAUAAAGGUAACAUUAUGGUAUUAAGGACUUAGAAGUAAUAUAAAAUAAUAAUGUUUAUGUGAAGGUUGAUUUAGUUAAGGUACACAUCGCCCGUCAUUUUCGUAUUAUAGCU